This 389-nucleotide long non-coding RNA is filed under the name Ananas comosus (pineapple). Its description in RNAcentral is "long non-coding RNA (ACOM_LNC012153)". The record is from RNAcentral. Lineage: Eukaryota; Viridiplantae; Streptophyta; Magnoliopsida; Poales; Bromeliaceae.
AUGUUGGAAGGGUUAAAGUUGAGUUCCAAGGGAGUUGGAAAGGUUUUAGCAUUGUUCGGCGCGAAUUGGAGUCGAAACAAUGUGAGAUUGAGGUUCGGGAGCAUUCGGGUGUUUCGGUGCGCGUAGGGCCCGAAAACGGAGCUCGAAAAGCUAUGAUUAGACCUUUGCCGAAAUUCGGCAAAGUGUGGAUGAAAAGAUGGUUUGAACGCGCUCGAAAACAUGUUUUGGGAGUCUCGGUUCGAUUUGAAUGAAUCGGAGGCCUAACGAGCGAAAACGAGCGAAAACGGAGAAGAAAGAUGAAAAUGCUGAAAAUUUGGCUAAGUCUGGAAAAGUGUACCAGUACAGAUACGAAAGUGUACUGGUACACUUCUGAAAAAUCUGAACAGCAG